This 245-nucleotide unclassified non-coding RNA is filed under the name plant metagenome. RNAcentral's name for it is "partial contains small subunit ribosomal RNA, internal transcribed spacer 1, and 5.8S ribosomal RNA". The record is from RNAcentral.
UCUCCGUUGGUGAACCAGCGGAGGGAUCAUUACCGAGUUUACAACUCCCAAACCCAAUGUGAACCAUACCAAACUGUUGCCUCGGCGGGGUCACGCCCCGGGUGCGUCGCAGCCCCGGAACCAGGCGCCCGCCGGGGGGACCAACCAAACUCUUUCUGUAGUCCCCUCGCGGACGUUAUUUCUUACAGCUCUGAGCAAAAAUUCAAAAUGAAUCAAAACUUUCAACAACGGAUCUCUUGGUUCUG